Podarcis lilfordi (Lilford's wall lizard) is the source of this 72-nucleotide non-coding RNA. The record is from the annotation of a GenBank genome assembly. Lineage: Eukaryota; Metazoa; Chordata; Lepidosauria; Squamata; Lacertidae.
GGGGCUGCAGUUCAGUGGUAGAGCACCUGUUUUGCAUGCAGGAGGUCCCCAGUUCAAUCCCUGGCAUCUCCA